RNAcentral lists this ribosomal RNA (1118 nucleotides) under uncultured organism. Its description in RNAcentral is "bacterial SSU rRNA". It matches the Rfam family "Bacterial small subunit ribosomal RNA", at positions 301 to 1416 of the family's 1533-position model. The record is from RNAcentral.
UGAUCCCCCACACUGGUACUGAGACACGGACCAGACUCCUACGGGAGGCAGCAGUGAGGAAUAAUAGGUCAAUGGACGCAAGUCUAGAACCAGCCAUGCCGCGUGCAGGAUUGACGGCCCUAUGGGUUGUAAAACUGCUUUUAUUUGGGAAGAAAGGUCGCUACGAGUAGUGAUUUGACGGUACCAUUUGAAUAAGCACCGGCUAACUCCGUGCCAGCAGCCGCGGUAAUACGGAGGGUGCAAGCGUUAUCCGGAUUCAUUGGGUUUAAAGGGUGCGUAGGCUGAUAGAUAAGUCAGUGGUGAAAUCUUGCGGCUUAACCGUAAAACUGCCAUUGAUACUGUUUAUCUAGAGUACAUAUGAGGUAGGCGGAAUAUAGUAUGUAGCGGUGAAAUGCAUAGAUAUACUAUAGAACACCGAUUGCGAAGGCAGCUUACUAAAUUGUUACUGACGCUGAGGCACGAAAGCGUGGGGAGCGAACAGGAUUAGAUACCCUGGUAGUCCACGCAGUAAACGAUGAUUACUCGAUGUUGGCGAUACACUGUCAGCGUCUGCGCGAAAGCAUUAAGUAAUCCACCUGGGGAGUACGAUCGCAAGGUUGAAACUCAAAGGAAUUGACGGGGGCCCGCACAAGCGGAGGAGCAUGUGGUUUAAUUCGAUGAUACGCGAGGAACCUUACCUGGGCUUAAAUGUAGUGUGCAUUAGCGAUGAAAAUCCUAUUUCCUUCGGGACCCACUACAAGGUGCUGCAUGGUUGUCGUCAGCUCGUGCCGUGAGGUGUCGGGUUAAGUCCCAUAACGAGCGCAACCCCUAUUCUUAGUUGCCAUCAGGUAAUGCUGGGGACUCUAAGAAAACUGCCGGCGCAAGCCGUGAGGAAGGUGGGGAUGGCGUCAAAUCAGCACGGCCCUUAUGUCCAGGGCUACACACGUGCUACAAUGGUCGGCACAAAGGGCAGCUACACAGCGAUGUGAUGCUAAUCUCCAAAGCCGAUCCUAGUUCGGAUCGAAGUCUGCAAUUCGACUUCGUGAAGUUGGAUUCGCUAGUAAUCGUAUAUCAGCAAUGAUACGGUGAUAUGUUCCCGGGCCUUGUACACACCGCCCGUCAAGCCAUGGAAGCUGAGG